Molecule: long non-coding RNA, 835 nt
Filed under: Mytilus galloprovincialis (Mediterranean mussel)
Lineage: Eukaryota; Metazoa; Mollusca; Bivalvia; Mytilida; Mytilidae
Source: RNAcentral
UUAGGGUGCUAUAAACAGUUUCGUAUAAAAAACUAGGGGUUAUUCCCCAACUAAAAAUAGACAUGGAGGGAAGUCCCUUUUUAUCAACAUAAUUGGUGAAAAAGUAUCAUGUUUUUUGUAUUUGGUUGUAAAGAUAUGUUAAUUAACUUCAAUUAAAACAGGUUGAAUGAUUAAAAUAAUUUAAAAAAUUAGAUUAAAUAUUCAUGUUUUGAGGGGAGACAACACUGUAAACAGUCUGUUUUUUUGGCAGUGAAAAUUCAAAACUUAUUUGCAGCCACUGUAGCUCUUUUCGGAGCAGGCGAACGUACCCUGAAGCAUGAAUUUUUUUGAAAGACCAGGUAAAAAUCUAUGAAAUUCAUAUACAAUUUGAUUUUGAAAAAUGUGCAGGUAUCAUGUCUUCAGGGGUGUGCACAUGACCUGAUUUCAGGUUUUUUAAGCUUAAAUUAGGCAAUGUUUUUCCCAGUUUCUCUGGAUAAAACUUUUUUAUACUAUUAAAAGUACACUUUUUUUUUAUUCCAUUAUAAACUAGAGAACAUUCUGAUUCCAGUGAUAUCUAGUUUUAUACAGGUAUCUUUAUUAAUCAGUCCACCACUAAGGGUCACUUAUACAUGGUCCCUCAAAAUAUGACGUCAUAGAAAAAAACUGUUGAUUGCACCCUUAAGGGACAAAUAUAAAAUAUAGUGAUGUUUUAGCAUAGAAAUGUGUUUGCGAAUGGAGUAAAAUAAUUCUGAAAAAUAUUGUACGGCAUGUAUACAUUAAUUUAAAAGCAUCAGUUUGGUAUAUUUAAUGCAAAUAUUACAGAUUUGUACAUAGCAACCAGAUAUAAGAAAACCAG